UGCAAGGGCACAUGCCGAGAGGGCAGU
Molecule: non-coding RNA, 27 nt
Filed under: Homo sapiens (human)
Lineage: Eukaryota; Metazoa; Chordata; Mammalia; Primates; Hominidae
Source: RNAcentral